Artibeus jamaicensis (Jamaican fruit-eating bat) is the source of this 474-nucleotide long non-coding RNA. RefSeq lists it as uncharacterized. The record is from RefSeq and is a predicted model, not a curated record. The transcript is spliced from 3 exons. NCBI's taxonomy places the organism in Eukaryota, Metazoa, Chordata, Mammalia, Chiroptera, Phyllostomidae.
GGUUGCAGAGUCUCAGAUUGGGGUGGGCAAGAGCACCUACCCUGGGAGACCUGGAGGAACAAGUUCUUGGAGGAGCCCAGGUAACUGAAACCAGGGAAAGCAAACCACAGAAAAGAGGGGAUUGACUGCUCUACAAGUCUGCAGAGAAAGAGAGACUCGUGUCCUGGAAACUCUGUUGAAGUUCCAGCAUCUACUCUGAUUCGACUACCUUAGGUCGUGGCCCAUCUCUGAAGCGCCCACUGCCGCUCAAGGAAGGCCAUGGUCUGAUUGUCCAGGCCUGGUCACACACAUGUUGAGGGAGGGACAGCGUCAGCUGAACUUCAGGGACUGAACGUGGGCAAGUGUUUUAUUGUUUUAGUUGUUCAUGCUAUCAAACCUACAGAAAAGUUGGACAGACACAAAAAGAGCAAAAAACACCUAUAUAUACACCUAUGUACCCUUUACCGGAUCUGUUGUUAACACUUUAUAUCGUCA